This 2781-nucleotide long non-coding RNA is filed under the name Gallus gallus (chicken). Its description in RNAcentral is "lncRNA (ENSGALG00010021859.1)". The record is from RNAcentral. Lineage: Eukaryota; Metazoa; Chordata; Aves; Galliformes; Phasianidae.
AGGAGAAAUGGCUCCAGGCUGAGCAGGGCAGGUUGAGACAGGCUGCAUCCUGGCUGCUAAGGGAGAGUUAUUCUGCCUUACGUGUGUGUUCUGUUCAGGCAGAUAUUAAACUAGGUCUCUUCCAGCAUUGUCACGGACGCUGCUCUCAUCUGCUGCAUUAAGUAAUUUGUGCUUCUCCCCCAGAAAAGUAUUUAUUUCGUCUCUGUACCGCUGUCAAAGCUAAUAUUAGCGAGUGUUACUGAACCGUUUUACAUCUGCUCCAGCAGCAGCUGCUCCACGGGAGCAUGACUUGACAAGAGGACAGGGCAGAGGAAGAAAGUCACAUCGGAUACUUAGCAGGAAAGUGGGGAAGGAUAAGGUGCUGAGGGGCAGCAGGGCAGGGGCUUGUGGCACUCAAGAACAGUAUCGCAAAGAAUUUAAGUACAGUAUAAGCAAUCCUCUGCCUAUGCUUAUGCCUGAGCGGCACAAAAUGCCCCACACAGGAUGGGUUCUGGCUGUGUAAUUGUCGCUGGAGAGGCCCGUGGGGAUGAGCCAAAUUAGCGCUGCUCAGAACCUGCCUGCGAGGCACUUUAGCAGAGAGAACAAUUUGUGGAUUUUCUUUUCCCUUGCACUUGAAAAAAGCAAGCUCAGGCCACCCUGAUUCUCAGGGAUGAAACCAAGAAACUGGUGCUGUUAAAGCCUGCAUAUGAAUGUACUUCGCAUCAACUCUGCGUGCGUAUACGUCUAUUUACUCUAACGGAAGAAAUACUAACAGCCAGUGCUGAACUGGAGCCCACCUGAAGUGCGCUCGGAGCCUGUCUUUUGGCGAGGAUGCUGCAGGGGGUGCUGGAGAUCGUCGUUUCCUCCCCACCGAGCUGCCAACCUACUCGAGCACCAGGUAUCAGUGCUGCUCCUGCCUCAGUUUUGGUAUACAACCAAGAGGAGGAGUGGUCCUUUUGUCCCUCUGGGGAAUGAAGACAAGGAAGAAGGGCAAGGUGGAAAUAUGGACCUUUCUGUAUUGCUGGAUCUUUAACCUCGUCUGUAUUUUGGGUGUUGCUCAUGCUCUUCAGACAUUCCACAGAUGGAGAGGGGGAAAAGCUUGUAUCCUUUUCAAAUCCAGGUCUAUGAGAGCCUUUGAUAUAGCAGCAUGCCAUGAGGGGAAAUGUAAUGCCAAGAAUACCAUAACAUAAACAGUAGUGGCUGAGGAGUCUGUCAUGAAUAAUUUAAGAUAUCCCAAAUGGAGACUUCCAGAGCCUCAACCCCUGAAGUGCUCAAGACAUCAAGAAGGAUUUGUGGUGGUUGUGGGAAUGGCUGUAUGGUGCUUAGCUGCCUGGGUUAAAUCACAACAGUUCUUUCUGGUGUGCUGCUUGGGGCACAAAGGGUGGAGAUAACAGCAGAUCCGACCAGAAUGUGUUAAAACCAAAUUGUUAUAAAUAUCAUAGUAUUUAAUAAUUGCUAGUCACAAUGCUUUUUUAUUAUUAUUUUCAGAGUUAUUUCAGAAGAUUUACGUGGAACUAUAUUGUUUAGUACCUUACUUAUUAUAUGUUCCCUGUAGUGCUGUUUGCUGUGUCUUGGGGCUGGAUCAAGAUUAUCAUUUUGCUGUACUGUGUAACCCUGGUUUACAGUAUGAUAGAAUUACUGGUCAGGAAACCAAUCUGGUAUUUGUACUCAGUAUUGCAGUCAUCUUUGUACUUUAGGAACCAUAAUGUGAAAACUAGUAAUAAUUACACUCUUUGCUCUGUCUCCCCAUGGAGACAGUCUAUAGGGGGAACCACGAGGAUACGUUACGUUACGUUACCCCAUCAGCCACCUUGAAACACCCUGCCAGCCUUCUGCCACCACCAGAGUCACCAGCUGUGGCUCAAGGAGACAUGGAGAGCAAUGGAGAAUGCAAGGUUCAAUUCUUGUGCAGGCUGGCUGUGGCCACACUACCCCUGCCCUGCUAUCAUUACUUCAGCUGCUGAGCUCCACUAAUUGCUCUCCAGAGGAGUCCGAUAGCAAUGGGGUGUGCUUUGCUAAGAUAACUGCAGUUACACUGGCUGGGAGCAAAUGACAAGGGCUAUCAAUCCUCAUGCUUCAGGACACAAACUGAAUACCAUUUCAGGCUAGGAAUAAGCCAGUGCAAAAUGUUCUCAGAAAAAAACAAAAGACUCACCUGCUUCUUUAUACAUUGUCAAGUUCGGGUUGGACCUGUUAAGAUUUUCACAGUUUUUGGGCACAGAAAGAAUGUUGAGCUGAAUCCCAUCAGAGCAGAGUCCUCUGACUUUGCCUGUGUUCCCCACACUAUGGCUUUAGCAACACCUAUGGGGAGGAAAGAGUUUUAGUUUGCAAAACUGGCAUUGCCUGGGAGUGAAACUGGGGUGUGAGGGUAGAACUAUGUGUGGAUAGAAAUGGUGUGUUGAAAUGCCAUCUAGAAGCACUCAGCACUUCCAGUGGCACAAGCCUCUCUUACCUUUCCAGCUUGGCUUAUAAAAUAAAAAAUUUCCAUUGAAUCAUGUCAACAGCACAGAGCAUCCUAAUUGCCUUUACUUCUACCCGGCAGCUCUUAUUCCAAGCCUACCUCUCCCAGCAGCUAAUUCCACUGUUGCUCAACCUAAUACACUACAGAGAAAUCCCAAUAUCUUUUUAAAAAUCCUUUCUUUGGAGAUAGUUUUAUCUGAUUCUCUAAUAAGGAUUCUAUUAAGGGAAGCCUCUGCUGUGCUUUGUUAAGGAAUUGAUGCAAUUUGAUUUUUAUUAUAUGAACAGAAUAACAUGGAUAGUAGCUGUCUCUGAUACAAAGUGCAAAAAGUAUUGUGCUUCCAC